GUCGGUCUCAGGUGUAUUACAUACUCAAUAAGGAACCGGGUGCGAUUCCCGGACGAACCCGUCACCGUGUUCGGUUGUCCCCCCUCCCCCGCUCCGCCGCGGGGCGUCCAUUGGCUAUUGGCUGAGAAGGCGAGGAGCGGACGUUAACCGUAAGCCGGGAGACUUGCCUGAAAG
This 174-nucleotide non-coding RNA is filed under the name bovine gut metagenome. The record is from RNAcentral.